This 306-nucleotide ribosomal RNA is filed under the name uncultured Peredibacter sp. Its description in RNAcentral is "bacterial SSU rRNA". It matches the Rfam family "Bacterial small subunit ribosomal RNA", at positions 1033 to 1340 of the family's 1533-position model. The record is from RNAcentral. Lineage: Bacteria; Pseudomonadati; Bdellovibrionota; Bacteriovoracia; Bacteriovoracales; Bacteriovoracaceae.
GAGAGGUGCUGCAUGGCUGUCGUCAGCUCGUGUUGUGAAAUGUUGGGUUAAGUCUCGCAACGAGCGCAACCUCUAUCGUCUGUUGCCAGCAUUAAGUUGGGCACUCUGACGAGACUGCCUGGGUUAACCAGGAGGAAGGUGGAGAUGACGUCAAGUCCUCAUGGCCCUUAUGUCUAGGGCUACACACGUAAUACAAUGGCGCGUACAGAGGGAAGCGAACUCGCGAGGGGGAGCAAAUCUCAAAAAGCGCGUCUCAGUCCGGAUUGGAGUCUGCAACUCGACUCCAUGAAGUUGGAAUCGCUAGUA